CCUACGGGUGGCUGCAGUGAGGAAUAUUGGUCAAUGGAGGCAACUCUGAACCAGCCAAGUAGCGUGCAGGAUGACGGCCCUAUGGGUUGUAAACUGCUUUUAUGCGAGGAUAAACGCAGUUACGCGUGGCUUACUGCAAGUAUCGCACGAAUAAGGACCGGCUAAUUCCGUGCCAGCAGCCGCGGUAAUACGGAAGAUCCAAGCGUUAUCCGGAUUUAUUGGGUUUAAAGGGUGCGUAGGCGGCCCCAUAAGUUUGUGGUGAAAUCCCGGGGCUCAACCGCGGAAUUGCAGCGGAAACUGUGCGGCUUGAGAGUAGUUGCGGUAGGCGGAAUGUAUGGUGUAGCGGUGAAAUGCUUAGAGAUCAUACAGAACACCGAUUGCGAAGGCAGCUUACC
Molecule: ribosomal RNA, 395 nt
Filed under: uncultured bacterium
Lineage: Bacteria
Description: partial 16S ribosomal RNA
Rfam family: Bacterial small subunit ribosomal RNA
Source: RNAcentral